RNAcentral lists this small RNA (28 nucleotides) under Bombyx mori (domestic silkworm). Its description in RNAcentral is "ovarian small RNA-12454". Lineage: Eukaryota; Metazoa; Arthropoda; Insecta; Lepidoptera; Bombycidae. The record is from RNAcentral.
AUCCCGCAGCUGCUGAGGCUGGAGACGC